CAGGCAGGCCGGGCAGCCGCUGCGACGCGAAAGCGACGCGGAGGAAAGUCCGAACUCCACGGGGCACGGUGGUGGCUAACGGCCACCGUCCGCAAGGAUAGGGAAAGUGCCACAGAAAACAUACCGCCACGGCGCCUCCGGGCGUCGCGGUAAGGGUGAAAUGGCGAGGUAAGAGCUCACCGCGGUUCUGGUGACAGGACCGGCACGGUAAACCCCACCGGGAGCAAGGCCAAAUUGGGAGCAAGGGGCCGCCCCACCCCACGCCGCCUUCGGGCGACAUGAGCUCCGGGUAGGCCGCUCGAGCGCGGCGGGCAACCGCCGAGCCCAGAUAAAUGGCUGCCCGGCGACUUCGGUCGCCGACAGGAUUCGGCUUACAGGCCUGGCUGCAGG
RNAcentral lists this RNase P RNA (390 nucleotides) under Phycisphaerae bacterium. RNAcentral describes it as "RNase P RNA component class A". It matches the Rfam family "Bacterial RNase P class A". Rfam says of the family: Ribonuclease P (RNase P) is a ubiquitous endoribonuclease, found in archaea, bacteria and eukarya as well as chloroplasts and mitochondria. Its best characterised activity is the generation of mature 5'-ends of tRNAs by cleaving the 5'-leader elements of precursor-tRNAs. Cellular RNase Ps are ribonucleoproteins. Lineage: Bacteria; Pseudomonadati; Planctomycetota; Phycisphaerae. The record is from RNAcentral.